GAUGAAGAACGUAGCGAAAUGCGAUAAGUAAUGCGAAUUGCAGAAUUCAGUGAGUCAUCGAAUCUUUGAACGCACAUUGCGCCCUGUGGUAUUCCGCAGGGCAUGCCUGUUCGAGCGUCAUUUCAACCCUCAAGCCUCGCUUGGUGUUGGGCCCUGCCCGCCGCGGCCGGCCCUAAAGAUAGUGGCGGCGCCGCCUGGCCCUCAGCGUAGUACAGCUCUCGCUCCAGGGUCCGGCGGCAGCCUGCCAGAACCCCCCAACUCUGUGGUUGACCUCGGAUCAGGAAGGGAUACCCGCUGAACUUAAGCAUAUCAAUAAGCGGAGGA
This 324-nucleotide unclassified non-coding RNA is filed under the name soil metagenome. RNAcentral describes it as "partial contains 5.8S ribosomal RNA, internal transcribed spacer 2, and large subunit ribosomal RNA". The stretch from base 1 to 120 matches the Rfam family "5.8S ribosomal RNA", at positions 35 to 154 of the family's 154-position model. The record is from RNAcentral.